ACGCCGUAGACCGGCCCGGUGUCGAGUCCGGCUUCGAGCCGGAAGGUGCUUGCACCGGUGAUCUCGUCACCGGCGGCGAUC
This 81-nucleotide transfer RNA is filed under the name Rhodococcus gordoniae. RNAcentral's name for it is "tRNA-Arg(tcg)". The record is from RNAcentral. Lineage: Bacteria; Bacillati; Actinomycetota; Actinomycetes; Mycobacteriales; Nocardiaceae.